AACCAUGAGGCCUUUGCACUGGCCGCGCCCUCUGCCCGCCACGCUGGCCUCCAGGUCCCUUCAAGGCCACCUCCUCCUGGUUGCAGCUGCAGGGGCCUCUCCUGGCCCACAUCUCCCCUUCCUGUCCGGGUUUCACAGGCGGUCCUCCCCUCUUCCCUCACCCCAGCCCCCAACGCCGGCUCAGGCCUGUGCUGGACCUGUCUGCCUUGGUCCCUGCUCUUGCCAGUGAGUCUGGCUAGGUAUGAUCACGUGACCAAGUUCUGGCCAAUGAGAAAUAGGAGUAUCCAGGAAUGGGAAGAGACCUGCCCUUCUUUGGCCCUUUGUCCAACCAGCAGCCUGGAAAGCAGAUGUGAUGGCUGAGCUCUGGCAGCCACGUUGGAGUCUGAGGUGAAGGAACACAUGCUCAGGGUGUAGAGCAAUGAGCGGGCUGGACCCUGCGUCCCUGGUGACAUGUAUGGCCUUCACUGCAGCCCUAGCUUGCCCACAUCUAGAGUUCUUUUAUGGGAAAGAAAAAACACACAUUUACCUUGUUUAAGCACUGCAGUUUUGAGCUUUGCUGUUAUAGGCAGUCAACCCUAUUCAAAGCUGGUAUAGUGGGGAAGAAGUCUUAAAGAAGAGAGACCAACACGAAAACCAGAGGAGUGAUCAGGCCGAAAGACUGCAUGUGCUUUGGGUGGCUCACAUGGGACCAGUGGAUGACCGGCUGGGUCAGGACCUGACUCUGGAUGCAAGGUCUCCUGUACUAAGGAUUGCAGAUGUGCCCAUGCUUAUCUAUGCCUGGCUGACUCAGCCGUGUCCUGGGGAUGUCCGAGCCACAGGAUGGACAGAACCUGCAUCCUCCACGCUCACAAGUCCAUGCCUUGUAGCUUGCACCUCUGGUUCUCAUUAGGGAGUCUUCCAUUUUUCUCAGUGUCUUUUUGUCAUCCUUGGAGAUGAGCUUGUGGCCCUUCUUCCUUGAGCUACUGAUGGAACAGGCCAUGAGGAGCUCUCUUUUCUGUGGUUGUCAACCUGCAUGGCAGAACCCUGGAGCGGUGAGGGGCCACUGGCUGCCUGGGAUGUGGCUGACUUCUGGGUUAGCAGAAUUGACAGAGAGAUAAAGAAUCACUGCUUGGCUUCUGUCAUUUGCAAUGGAAAAUAUCCUGGGAAUACAGGAGUCAGCAAGCUGUGUCUGGGGGCCAAAUCCCCAAGCUAAGAAUGGAUUUUACAUUUUUGAAGAGUUGUUAAAAAUUAAUAAAUCAAAGAAGACUGUUAAGAGACUGCAUGUGGCCUAAAA
Long non-coding RNA from Cervus elaphus (red deer), 1273 nucleotides. RefSeq lists it as uncharacterized. The record is from RefSeq and is a predicted model, not a curated record. The transcript is spliced from 6 exons. Lineage: Eukaryota; Metazoa; Chordata; Mammalia; Artiodactyla; Cervidae.